This is a non-coding RNA of Schistosoma mattheei, 78 nucleotides long. The record is from Rfam. NCBI's taxonomy places the organism in Eukaryota, Metazoa, Platyhelminthes, Trematoda, Strigeidida, Schistosomatidae.
AGCUUUCUGAAUCCGUGCUGAGAUUUCGUCAGACACCAACUCAUUAGUGCUGAACAGACUUCCAGGAUAAGUGAAGUC